Molecule: long non-coding RNA, 681 nt
Filed under: Pan troglodytes (chimpanzee)
Lineage: Eukaryota; Metazoa; Chordata; Mammalia; Primates; Hominidae
Description: long non-coding RNA NONPTRT018410
Source: RNAcentral
CGCCUCCCAGGCAGCCUAUUUCAAGGUGCAAGCUCCACCUUCCGGGCGGCCUAUUUCAAGGUGCAAGCCCCGCCUCCCGGGCGGCCUAUUUCAAGGUGCAAGCCCCGCCUCCCAGCCCUAUUUCAAGGUGCAAGCCCCGCCUCCCAGGCAGCCUAUUUCAAGGUGCAAGCCCCGCCUCCCGGACGGCCUAUAUCAAGGCGCAAGCCCCGCCUCCUGGACGGCCUAUUUAAAGGCGCAAGCCCCGCCUCCCAGGCAGCCUAUUUCAAGGUGCAAGCCCCGCCUCCCGGACGGCCUAUUUCAAGGCGCAAGCCCCGCCUCCAGGGCGGCCUAUUUCAAGGCGCAAGCCCCGCCGCCCGGGUGGCCUAUUUCAGGGCGCAAGCUCCGCCUCCUAGCCCUAUUUCAAGGUGCACCCUCUGCCUCCUGGGCGGCCUAUUUCAAGGUGCAAGCUCCUCCUCCUAGCCCUAUUUCAAGGUGCACCCUCUGCCUCCUGGGCGGCCUAUUUCAAGGUGCACCCUCUGCCUCCUGGGCGGCCUAUUUCAAGGUGCUCGCUGCACAGAUGGGAGUGGUUUUCUGCAGUGGUCACGGAUGAACUCAAUAACACCCAAGUCACACGCUGCUCCACCCUUACAGUGGCCUCGUAUCACAAAAGAACGUGUAGGUUGCUUUGUGCUUUAAGAGAAC